AAUAAAUACAGAGAUGAGUUUCUGUGUCUAAUUUUGAUCGUCCGUCUUAUUUAUUUUUUCUAUGAUUAGUAUUUUUAUUGUUAUAAGAUUAUAAAACAUAAAUAAUAUUUUGUGCAUGACUUAUAUUUUUUAGUUUUUUUAAAAUAAAUAAGACGGACGAUCAAAGUUGGACCCGAAAACUCAUAACUGCGUUUAUU
Oryza barthii is the source of this 197-nucleotide non-coding RNA. The record is from Rfam. Lineage: Eukaryota; Viridiplantae; Streptophyta; Magnoliopsida; Poales; Poaceae.